CACAUUCAACACAAAAAGUAUUGUCUUGAAAGUUUUGUUCUGUGGCUUCUUGCAGCCAGCCGUGUGGACAGUGAAGAAGCAGAUAUUGCACGCUGAAAACAUCACCUCAUCACAGAUGCAUCGUGCACUGACACUAUCUUGUGGUCUCCAGAGACGAGUACAACCUGCGCUAUGGGAAACCGGUACACAUCUUUGUGGAAACUGGCCCUGAGACGUUUCUGAAGAUCAGGAGUAGAGAUCACAAAACGAAAACCUUUGUGUCAGUAACAUGUCUUGAGGAGCUAAUCAGAGUUGCUGUGGGU
This is a long non-coding RNA of Ornithodoros turicata, 302 nucleotides long. RefSeq lists it as uncharacterized. The transcript has 3 exons. The record is from RefSeq and is a predicted model, not a curated record. Lineage: Eukaryota; Metazoa; Arthropoda; Arachnida; Ixodida; Argasidae.